UACGUAGGGAGCGAGCGUUAUCCGGAAUUACUGGGCGUAAAGGGUGCGUAGGCGGUCUUUCAAGCCAGAAGUGAAAGGCUACGGCUCAACCGUAGUAAGCUUUUGGAACUGUAAGACUUGAGUGCAGGAGAGGAGAGUGGAAUUCCUAGUGUAGCGGUGAAAUGCGUAGAUAUUAGGAGGAACACCAGUAGCGAAGGCGGCUCUCUGGACUGUAACUGACGCUGAGGCACGAAAGCGUGGGGAGCAAACAGGAUUAGAUACCCGCGUAGUCCCUU
This 275-nucleotide ribosomal RNA is filed under the name uncultured prokaryote. Its description in RNAcentral is "partial 16S ribosomal RNA". It matches the Rfam family "Bacterial small subunit ribosomal RNA", at positions 524 to 799 of the family's 1533-position model. The record is from RNAcentral.